GAUGAACGCUGGCGGCGUGCCUAAUACAUGCAAGUCGAGCGAACAGACGAGGAGCUUGCUCCUCUGACGUUAGCGGCGGACGGGUGAGUAACACGUGGAUAACCUACCUAUAAGACUGGGAUAACUUCGGGAAACCGGAGCUAAUACCGGAUAAUAUAUUGAACCGCAUGGUUCAAUAGUGAAAGACGGUUUUGCUGUCACUUAUAGAUGGAUCCGCGCCGCAUUAGCUAGUUGGUAAGGUAACGGCUUACCAAGGCAACGAUGCGUAGCCGACCUGAGAGGGUGAUCGGCCACACUGGAACUGAGACACGGUCCAGACUCUUACGGGAGGCAGCAGUAGGGAAGCUUCCGCAAUGGGCGAAAGCCUGACGGAGCAACGCCGCGUGAGUGAUGAAGGUCUUCGGAUCGUAAAACUCUGUUAUUAGGGAAGAACAAAUGUGUAAGUAACUAUGCACGUCUUGACGGUACCUAAUCAGAAAGCCACGGCUAACUACGU
Molecule: ribosomal RNA, 496 nt
Filed under: uncultured bacterium
Lineage: Bacteria
Description: partial 16S ribosomal RNA
Rfam family: Bacterial small subunit ribosomal RNA
Source: RNAcentral